This 254-nucleotide ribosomal RNA is filed under the name uncultured bacterium. RNAcentral describes it as "partial 16S ribosomal RNA". It matches the Rfam family "Bacterial small subunit ribosomal RNA", at positions 524 to 776 of the family's 1533-position model. The record is from RNAcentral.
UACGAAGGGGGCUAGCGUUGUUCGGAAUUACUGGGCGUAAAGCGCGCGCAGGCGGUCUUCCAAGUCAGUGGUGAAAGCCCGGAGCUCAACUCCGGAACUGCCAUUGAAACUGUUUAGCUUGAGGACGAGAGAGGUGAGUGGAAUUCCCAGUGUAGAGGUGAAAUUCGUAGAUAUUGGGAAGAACACCGGUGGCGAAGGCGGCUCACUGGCUCGUAUCUGACGCUCAGGCGCGAUAGCGUGGGGGAUCAAACAGG